AAAUAAUGAGUAACUAAGAAAUGCGAUACAAGUCCAGUAAAUACAGAAUUCGAUACAAUAGUUUCUAGAAAGCAUGAAAGGAUUAGAUAAGGGAGGCACGGGGGCUGCGGACGCUAACAGCUACCUCGUAGUCUCCAAAUUACUGCCUGGACAGGGAAGAUAAGCGCUCAGGAGUGUACUCUGCGAUGCCUGAAUCUGCACACAUGGUGCAGGAGUAAUGUGAG
RNAcentral lists this long non-coding RNA (224 nucleotides) under Nicotiana benthamiana. RNAcentral's name for it is "long non-coding RNA (NBEN_LNC015453)". The record is from RNAcentral. Lineage: Eukaryota; Viridiplantae; Streptophyta; Magnoliopsida; Solanales; Solanaceae.